GGAGUUACGGAUUCGACAGGGAUGGCUCAAGCUUGAGCUGCGCGUAGUAGGUCUCGGUCAUCAACGGAGUUAUAUAAAACUAUCAAACAAAAAAAUUUAUAUUUCGCAGCUUAGACUCGUAGCGCUCUGCCUCUCUAUCGACCAUGUAGAGAACGUGGGGCUUAAACUUAGUAUUAUUCGUUCGGUGGUGCCGCUUGAGUCAUCGUCAAGAGUUUUCCAAGUUAGUGCUCAAGAUGCCCGUUUGUCGGCAAAAGUGAGCAUGAAAUGGAAAUAGUCAAAAUACAAGCGUAGAAGUUUAAGUAAGUAUGGAGUUUAAGGACGCGGGUUUGACUCCCGCUGUCUCCAUAA
This 348-nucleotide transfer-messenger RNA is filed under the name Butyricicoccus sp. 1XD8-22. It matches the Rfam family "transfer-messenger RNA". From Rfam's summary of the family: Bacterial tmRNA, also known as 10Sa RNA or SsrA, is named for its dual tRNA and mRNA-like properties. Its role is to liberate the mRNA from a stalled ribosome. Lineage: Bacteria; Bacillati; Bacillota; Clostridia; Eubacteriales; Butyricicoccaceae. The record is from RNAcentral.